UUACACACAUGGUCAUAUUGGCAGCUAGUGGAAAAGCCGAACGAUCAUAAUUAUUUACCCGAUCCCAGAAAACAUCAAGGGGACCAUAAAAAGGAGUUUUCCUCAUCCCGUGAAGAAGUGGAUUUCCUUAGCGGUUCUUGGGUUUGUGGAACGCUCGUUAGAAUUGGCCUACAACAAUGGAUACUUGAUAUAAGAAUUCUACGUAAUAAGAAAAUAAAGUGGAAACAAUUGAAAUUAAGUGCUUACCAUUAUGAAAAGAGGAACGAUGAAACCCGACAAAGAUUUAGCCUGAAAAAGAGAGAUUAAGGACACUUGAAAAAAAGAAAGAACAAAUGGGCAAAAGAUGAAAAACCCCUAGGGUUCGCCCCCUAGAGUUCAGCCACCUAGGAUGGUCCCACUUUGAUACAUUGGCUCCUUUCGUGAUUCGUUAUUUUAUCUUUGAAACAAAAAGCCGUCUUGUGAUCCCAAAAGUAUUAUUUUUUUUUGAAAAUAUACGAGAGAAAAACCAAGAUAUAAUCAAGGUGAUAAGGCUUGGAAAAGAAAUAUUAGAGUUACCUGAAAGAAGGAAAAACAAGCCUGAAAGAACCUAAGCAUAAGAAACCAUGUGAGUAAACAUGCAAGAGAAGGAAAAGGAGAAUAAAAAUGAGAGGAGACAUCGAAACCCCCUAGGGUUCGUCCCCUAAGGUUCGUGGACUUAUGGUGGAGGUCUCUCCUUACCUUUUGUUCACUUCGGCUUGUUGAACGUCCGCUUGACUUUUUGAUAUCUCUUUGUUGAAGAAAGAAAGAAAGAAAUUCGAGGAAGAGAGAAAUUCCAAGAGAAUGGUAGAUGAAUAAGGAGAAGUAACACGUCAAACGCUACAUCUGUAAGCUCAAAAAACUACGUUUGAAAUAAAUUUAAACACAUCUAAAUCUUUAAACGCCCUAAAUAUUUUAUAAACGGAACAUGUGCAAUUGAAGCUGC
RNAcentral lists this long non-coding RNA (961 nucleotides) under Panax ginseng (ginseng). RNAcentral's name for it is "long non-coding RNA (PGIN_LNC010010)". The record is from RNAcentral. Lineage: Eukaryota; Viridiplantae; Streptophyta; Magnoliopsida; Apiales; Araliaceae.